This 480-nucleotide ribosomal RNA is filed under the name uncultured bacterium. RNAcentral's name for it is "bacterial SSU rRNA". It matches the Rfam family "Bacterial small subunit ribosomal RNA", at positions 38 to 518 of the family's 1533-position model. The record is from RNAcentral.
GGCGGCGUAGCUUAACACAUGCAAGUCGAACGGAGUAUUAAGAAUGAAGUUUCGGAUGGAUUUUUAGUACCUUAGUGGCGGACGGGUGAGUAACGACGUGGGUAACCUGCCUCACACAGGGGGAUAACAGUUGGAAACGACUGUUAAUACCGCAUAAGACCACAGUACCGCAUGGUACAGGGGUAAAAAACUCCGGUGGUGUGAGAUGGACCCGCGUCUGAUUAGUUAGUUGCGGGGUAACGGCCCACCAAGACGACGAUCAGUAGCCGAUCUGAGAGGAUGACCGGCCACAUUGGGACUGAGACACGGCCAAACUCCUACGGGAGGCAGCAGUGGGGAAUAUUGCACAAUGGGGGAAACCCUGAUGCCAGCGACGCCGCGUGAGUGAAGAAGUAUUUCGGUAUGUAAAGCUCUAUCAGCAGGGAAGAAAAUGACGGUACCUGAGUAAGAAGCCCCGGCUAACUACGUGCCAGCCGCGGC